UCUUUACCACGCGAUAGGUCAGCGAAGCGUGAGCGGGCGCUCCGAAGUAAAGGCCAAACACUUCGGCCUAAGGGGAAUGAGCAACAAAAUGACAAGAUGAGGUGCCCCGGGCACCCCCAUAUAGAAAGAAGGGUCGAAGGUUUUGGGCCUGUAGCUCCCCCCCCCUCGUCGAGUGGUGCUUGUUUGGGGGGUGUGCCGCCAGAAAGCGGGCUUGAAGCUCUCGCCUUACCAACGAGCCGACUGCUGAUGGUUGUUGGUCACGAGUACUACAAAAAAGUGAAGAUGAAUCUUUCUAUUUCACAUGGAGGAGUGUGCAUCUUUAUGUUGGGUGUUCUUCUGCCGUGCGACCCGAUGGCUUAUGUGCGACCUGUGGCCCACGCCUCCUAUUCUAUUUGUUCAGGGCGGGCGGCGUGA
RNAcentral lists this ribosomal RNA (414 nucleotides) under Triticum aestivum (bread wheat). RNAcentral's name for it is "partial small subunit ribosomal RNA". Lineage: Eukaryota; Viridiplantae; Streptophyta; Magnoliopsida; Poales; Poaceae. The record is from RNAcentral.